ACGAUAUGCUUUGGGGAGCUGUAAGUAAGCUUUGAUCCAGAGAUUUCCGAAUGGGGAAACCCAGCAUGAGUUAUGUCAUGUUAUCGAUAUGUGAAUACAUAGCAUAUCAGAAGGCACACCCGGAGAACUGAAACAUCUUAGUACCCGGAGGAAGAGAAAGAAAAUUCGAUUCCCUUAGUAGCGGCGAGCGAAACGGGAAGAGCCCAAACCAACAAGCUUGCUUGUUGGGGUUGUAGGACACUCUAUACGGAGUUACAAAGGACGACAUUAGACGAAUCAUCUGGAAAGAUGAAUCAAAGAAGGUAAUAAUCCUGUAGUCGAAAAUGUUGUCUCUCUUGAGUGGAUCCUGAGUACGACGGAGCACGUGAAAUUCCGUCGGAAUCUGGGAGGACCAUCUCCUAAGGCUAAAUACUCUCUAGUGACCGAUAGUGAACCAGUACCGUGAGGGAAAGGUGAAAAGCACCCCGGAAGGGGAGUGAAAUAGAACCUGAAACCGUGUGCUUACAAGUAGUCAGAGCCCGUUAAUGGGUGAUGGCGUGCCUUUUGUAGAAUGAACCGGCGAGUUACGAUUUGAUGCAAGGUUAAGCAGUAAAUGUGGAGCCGUAGCGAAAGCGAGUCUGAAUAGGGCGUUUAGUAUUUGGUCGUAGACCCGAAACCAGGUGAUCUACCCUUGGUCAGGUUGAAGUUCAGGUAACACUGAAUGGAGGACCGAACCGACUUACGUUGAAAAGUGAGCGGAUGAACUGAGGGUAGCGGAGAAAUUCCAAUCGAACCUGGAGAUAGCUGGUUCUCUCCGAAAUAGCUUUAGGGCUAGCCUCAAGUGAUGAUUAUUGGAGGUAGAGCACUGUUUGGACGAGGGGCCCCUCUCGGGUUACCGAAUUCAGACAAACUCCGAAUGCCAAUUAAUUUAACUUGGGAGUCAGAACAUGGGUGAUAAGGUCCGUGUUCGAAAGGGAAACAGCCCAGACCACCAGCUAAGGUCCCAAAAUAUAUGUUAAGUGGAAAAGGAUGUGGCGUUGCCCAGACAACUAGGAUGUUGGCUUAGAAGCAGCCAUCAUUUAAAGAGUGCGUAAUAGCUCACUAGUCGAGUGACACUGCGCCGAAAAUGUACCGGGGCUAAACAUAUUACCGAAGCUGUGGAUUGUCCUUUGGACAAUGGUAGGAGAGCGUUCUAAGGGCGUUGAAGCAUGAUCGUAAGGACAUGUGGAGCGCUUAGAAGUGAGAAUGCCGGUGUGAGUAGCGAAAGACGGGUGAGAAUCCCGUCCACCGAUUGACUAAGGUUUCCAGAGGAAGGCUCGUCCGCUCUGGGUUAGUCGGGUCCUAAGCUGAGGCCGACAGGCGUAGGCGAUGGAUAACAGGUUGAUAUUCCUGUACCACCUAUAAUCGUUUUAAUCGAUGGGGGGACGCAGUAGGAUAGGCGAAGCGUGCGAUUGGAUUGCACGUCUAAGCAGUAAGGCUGAGUAUUAGGCAAAUCCGGUACUCGUUAAGGCUGAGCUGUGAUGGGGAGAAGACAUUGUGUCUUCGAGUCGUUGAUUUCACACUGCCGAGAAAAGCCUCUAGAUAGAAAAUAGGUGCCCGUACCGCAAACCGACACAGGUAGUCAAGAUGAGAAUUCUAAGGUGAGCGAGCGAACUCUCGUUAAGGAACUCGGCAAAAUGACCCCGUAACUUCGGGAGAAGGGGUGCUCUUUAGGGUUAACGCCCAGAAGAGCCGCAGUGAAUAGGCCCAAGCGACUGUUUAUCAAAAACACAGGUCUCUGCUAAACCGUAAGGUGAUGUAUAGGGGCUGACGCCUGCCCGGUGCUGGAAGGUUAAGAGGAGUGGUUAGCUUCUGCGAAGCUACGAAUCGAAGCCCCAGUAAACGGCGGCCGUAACUAUAACGGUCCUAAGGUAGCGAAAUUCCUUGUCGGGUAAGUUCCGACCCGCACGAAAGGCGUAACGAUUUGGGCACUGUCUCAACGAGAGACUCGGUGAAAUCAUAGUACCUGUGAAGAUGCAGGUUACCCGCGACAGGACGGAAAGACCCCGUGGAGCUUUACUGUAGCCUGAUAUUGAAAUUCGGCACAGCUUGUACAGGAUAGGUAGGAGCCUUUGAAACGUGAGCGCUAGCUUACGUGGAGGCGCUGGUGGGAUACUACCCUAGCUGUGUUGGCUUUCUAACCCGCACCACUUAUCGUGGUGGGAGACAGUGUCAGGCGGGCAGUUUGACUGGGGCGGUCGCCUCCUAAAAGGUAACGGAGGCGCUCAAAGGUUCCCUCAGAAUGGUUGGAAAUCAUUCAUAGAGUGUAAAGGCAUAAGGGAGCUUGACUGCGAGACCUACAAGUCGAGCAGGGUCGAAAGACGGACUUAGUGAUCCGGUGGUUCCGCAUGGAAGGGCCAUCGCUCAACGGAUAAAAGCUACCCCGGGGAUAACAGGCUUAUCUCCCCCAAGAGUUCACAUCGACGGGGAGGUUUGGCACCUCGAUGUCGGCUCAUCGCAUCCUGGGGCUGUAGUCGGUCCCAAGGGUUGGGCUGUUCGCCCAUUAAAGCGGUACGCGAGCUGGGUUCAGAACGUCGUGAGACAGUUCGGUCCCUAUCCGUCGUGGGCGUAGGAAAUUUGAGAGGAGCUGUCCUUAGUACGAGAGGACCGGGAUGGACAUACCUCUGGUGUACCAGUUGUCGUGCCAACGGCAUAGCUGGGUAGCUAUGUGUGGACGGGAUAAGUGCUGAAAGCAUCUAAGCAUGAAGCCCCCCUCAAGAUGAGAUUUCCCAACUUCGGUUAUAAGAUCCCUCAAAGAUGAUGAGGUUAAUAGGUUCGAGGUGGAAGCAUGGUGACAUGUGGAGCUGACGAAUACUAAUCGAUCGAAGACUUAAUCAA
Molecule: ribosomal RNA, 2856 nt
Filed under: Staphylococcus aureus
Lineage: Bacteria; Bacillati; Bacillota; Bacilli; Caryophanales; Staphylococcaceae
Also listed under: 1 other name
Description: bacterial LSU rRNA
Rfam family: Bacterial large subunit ribosomal RNA
Source: RNAcentral